ACAUCAUCUCAUAUAAUAUCUAGAUUUCUAUAGAACAGAUAAAAUAUUCACUUUUUUUUCAAUUACAAAAUAUUACAGGUGUCUGGGUGCAUCAUCAAAUGUCCACACAGUCCGCCCGGACCACCCCUUCUCCACCCCCAGUGCUGUUGGGGGGCAUUCAGUAAUUAGCUUUUA
Nanorana parkeri is the source of this 174-nucleotide long non-coding RNA. RefSeq lists it as uncharacterized. Lineage: Eukaryota; Metazoa; Chordata; Amphibia; Anura; Dicroglossidae. The transcript has 3 exons. The record is from RefSeq and is a predicted model, not a curated record.